RNAcentral lists this ribosomal RNA (444 nucleotides) under uncultured bacterium. Its description in RNAcentral is "partial 16S ribosomal RNA". It matches the Rfam family "Bacterial small subunit ribosomal RNA", at positions 338 to 795 of the family's 1533-position model. The record is from RNAcentral.
CCUACGGGUGGCAGCAGUGGGGAAUAUUGGACAAUGGAGGAAACUCUUACCCAGCGACGCCGCGUGAAUGAAGAAGUAUUUCGGUAUGUAAAGCUCUAUCAUCGGGGACGAAAAAAAUGACGGUACCUAAGUAAUAAGCCCCGACUAACUACGUGCCAGCAGCCGCAGUAAUACGUAAGGGGGAAGCGUUGUUCGGAAUAGCUGGGCGUUAAGGGUAGGUAGGCGGUGAAGCCAGUUUGCAGUGAAAGAGCGAGGGCUUAACCCAGGGACUGCUUGUAAAACUGUUCGACUUGAGUGCAGUAGAGGAAAGUGGAAUUCCUAGUGUAGCGGUGGAAUGCGUAGAUAUUAGGAGGAACAUCAGUGGCGAAGGCGACUUGCUGGACUGUAACUGACGUUGAGGCACGAAAGUGUGGGGAGCAAACAGGAUUAGAUACCCCUGUAGUC